GCUGACGAGUGGCGAACGGGUGAGUAAUACAUCGGAACGUGCCCGAUCGUGGGGGAUAACGAAGCGAAAGCUUUGCUAAUACCGCAUACGAUCUACGGAUGAAAGCAGGGGACCGCAAGGCCUUGCGCGAACGGAGCGGCCGAUGGCAGAUUAGGUAGUUGGUGGGAUAAAAGCUUACCAAGCCGACGAUCUGUAGCUGGUCUGAGAGGACGACCAGCCACACUGGGACUGAGACACGGCCCAGACUCCUACGGGAGGCAGCAGUGGGGAAUUUUGGACAAUGGGCGAAAGCCUGAUCCAGCCAUGCCGCGUGCAGGAUGAAGGCCUUCGGGUUGUAAACUGCUUUUGUACGGAACGAAAAGACUCUGGUUAAUACCUGGGGUCCAUGACGGUACCGUAAGAAUAAGCACCGGCUAACUACGUGCCAGCAGCCGCGGUAAUACGUAGGGUGCAAGCGUUAAUCGGAAUUACUGGGCGUAAAGCGUGCGCAGGCGGUUAUAUAAGACAGAUGUGAAAUCCCCGGGCUCAACCUGGGAACUGCAUUUGUGACUGUAUAGCUAGAGUACGGCAGAGGGGGAUGGAAUUCCGCGUGUAGCAGUGAAAUGCGUAGAUAUGCGGAGGAACACCGAUGGCGAAGGCAAUCCCCUGGGCCUGUACUGACGCUCAUGCA
This 670-nucleotide ribosomal RNA is filed under the name Acidovorax temperans. RNAcentral's name for it is "bacterial SSU rRNA". It matches the Rfam family "Bacterial small subunit ribosomal RNA", at positions 87 to 753 of the family's 1533-position model. Lineage: Bacteria; Pseudomonadati; Pseudomonadota; Betaproteobacteria; Burkholderiales; Comamonadaceae. The record is from RNAcentral.